RNAcentral lists this transfer RNA (96 nucleotides) under Planctomycetota bacterium. RNAcentral's name for it is "tRNA-Ser". The record is from RNAcentral. Lineage: Bacteria; Pseudomonadati; Planctomycetota.
GAGUGCGCCUUGAUGAGCAGGAGGCUGCGCGCUGGAUUCGCGCGGCUGCCGAGCAAGGCAGCGGGCGCGCGCAGUUCAAUCUGGCCGUGCGUUUUC